Molecule: ribosomal RNA, 567 nt
Filed under: uncultured bacterium
Lineage: Bacteria
Description: partial 16S ribosomal RNA
Rfam family: Bacterial small subunit ribosomal RNA
Source: RNAcentral
UGGGGAAUAUUGCACAAUGGGCGAAAGCCUGAUGCAGCAACGCCGCGUGAGGGACGACGGCCUUCGGGUUGUAAACCUCUUUUAGCAAGGAAGAAGCGAAAGUGACGGUACUUGCAGAAAAAGCGCCGGCUAACUACGUGCCAGCAGCCGCGGUAAUACGUAGGGCGCAAGCGUUAUCCGGAAUUAUUGGGCGUAAAGAGCUCGUAGGCGGUUUGUCGCGUCUGCUGUGAAAACCCGAGGCUCAACCUCGGGCCUGCAGUGGGUACGGGCAGACUAGAGUGCGGUAGGGGAGAUUGGAACUCCUGGUGUAGCGGUGGAAUGCGCAGAUAUCAGGAAGAACACCGAUGGCGAAGGCAGAUCUCUGGGCCGUAACUGACGCUGAGGAGCGAAAGGGUGGGGAGCAAACAGGCUUAGAUACCCUGGUAGUCCACCCCGUAAACGUUGGGAACUAGUUGUGGGGUCCAUUCCACGGAUUCCGUGACGCAGCUAACGCAUUAAGUUCCCCGCCUGGGGAGUACGGCCGCAAGGCUAAACUUAAAUGAAUUGACGGGGUCAUAGCUGUUUCCU